UAACACGUAGGGUGCGAGCGUUGUUCGGAAUUACUGGGCGUAAAGGGCGUGUAGGCGGAUAGGUCAGCCGGAGGUGAAAGCCCGGGGCUCAACCCCGGAGGGUCUUUCGGAACUGCCUGUCUAGAGAGAGUCAGGGGCCAGCGGAAUUCCUGGUGUAGAGGUGAAAUUCGUAGAGAUCAGGAGGAACACCGGCGGCGAAAGCGGCUGGCUGGGACUACUCUGACGCUGAGGCGCGAAAGCGUGGGGAGCAAACAGGAUUAGAUACCCUGGUAGUCCACGCCGUAAACGAUGGGCACUAAGCGUCCGGCGGGUUCGACCCUGCUGGGUGUUGCAGUUAACGCGUUAAGUGCCCCGCCUGGGGAGUACGGUCGCAAGACUA
This 379-nucleotide ribosomal RNA is filed under the name uncultured delta proteobacterium. RNAcentral's name for it is "bacterial SSU rRNA". It matches the Rfam family "Bacterial small subunit ribosomal RNA", at positions 521 to 896 of the family's 1533-position model. Lineage: Bacteria; Deltaproteobacteria. The record is from RNAcentral.